CAGUAGCCACGGUAAUGCGUAGGUGGCAAGCGUUGUCCGGAAUUAUUGGGCGUAAAGGGCUCGCAGGCGGUUUCUUAAGUCUGAUGUGAAAGCCCCCGGCUCAACCGGGGAGGGUCAUUGGAAACUGGGAAACUUGAGUGCAGAAGAGGAGAGUGGAAUUCCACGUGUAGCGGUGAAAUGCGUAGAGAUGUGGAGGAACACCAGUGGCGAAGGCGACUCUCUGGUCUGUAACUGACGCUGAGGAGCGAAAGCGUGGGGAGCGAACAGGAUUAGAUACCCCAGUAGUCCCUGUCUCUUAUAC
Molecule: ribosomal RNA, 301 nt
Filed under: uncultured bacterium
Lineage: Bacteria
Description: partial 16S ribosomal RNA
Rfam family: Bacterial small subunit ribosomal RNA
Source: RNAcentral